Molecule: long non-coding RNA, 10208 nt
Organism: Cavia porcellus (domestic guinea pig)
Lineage: Eukaryota; Metazoa; Chordata; Mammalia; Rodentia; Caviidae
Exons: 2
Source: RefSeq, a predicted model, not a curated record
UACUACAAUUUUUUCCAGGUGGGUGGAUGAUCCUGUUUCUGAUGUCAAAUCAUCUGUUAUAAUGCUUAAUCAAUAGCUCAGUCCUCCAGUCUUUUCCUACUUUUUCCUACUAAAAUGAGGAAAUACCAGAGGGUAAGGAUCUUACCACACCCGACCUGCUGGUGGAAGGCAGGUCAGAGGAGACAGCUCCAAGUCAUAAAAGCACAGACUUGGCUCGAAGCACAAUUGGGUAUGUCCUGUGCAAUUUCUCCCAACCCUCAGGAUCUCCAGGCUAUGAGAUUCACUUGAUUGACACCACGACUAUUUCAGUCACUAAGCUUGUAAACCCUUCUGGCUUCUCAGGCCCUGGACCAGAAAAGACACUCCAAUUGAGUAGGAGCUGCAAAGUCUGUUCUGCUGGAGUACCGAGACAGGGCUGUCUCACUGUUAUCCUGAAUCCACUCUCCAUUAGUGGCCUCAUCAGAAAAAUCACGAACCCUAUGAGACCAGGUGUACUCCCUGACUUUCGCCGACCCCACCUUCUAGAAUCUCUGAGAGACUAGCAAGCAGGCGAUACCCCACCUCAUCUGAAUACACCUCCCCCGGAAAAGCCCUCGCUGGAGUGUGCUCCCCGGGAGCCCAUCCGGAGCCCAUCAAGUGCAGCGCAUCCUGGUCAGGAGUGGGUUAAACAAAAGGCUGAGAGGAUAAGGGGCCCAGGGAAAGGUGCCAAGUGUACUGAGGUCCGGAGACUGCGCAGGAACUUAUCUAAAACACAGGCUCUGGACCAGGAUGCCCUGGCCUCUUUCUCCAGAGGCAAAGGCAGCCCUAGGAAAUAAGGGACCCCCAAAAAGACAGAGCAGGGACAGUCCCGGUGCAGAGGGGCAGGCUGGGAGGAGAGCUGGGGCCCUGCCAGAGUGUGCGUGCUGGUGGAGGAAGGAGACGCGCGGGGGCAGUUCGUGAGUGCUGGGCAGUCUGAUCUCUCAGCAGUCGGAGAUGGUAGGAGGGGCACCGGCUGGGGUUGGGAUGGAAAGCAGGGUCCGACUCUUCCCGUGGAACCGGACGAAAGCUGGAGUCCAGGGGGAUGCUAAUGGAUGGAGGCCAGCCCAAAAGAAGGCGCCCACCCUGGCAGGGGGCUUUGGACGCUAGUGGAGGGUUCCGUGGACGAGGAUCUGCAGAUGCAGUCAGAAAGCCAAGCAAGCAGUAAGUGUCUGUGUGCUGCCAUAUCCACCGGCCACGCUGGACUCUGCAUUGGAACUGGGGGCGCAUCCGUGUCUCUCUCAGGAGGCCACGGUGGAGGAGGAGACACCUGCGGACAGGAGAAUGUGCUGUGAGCCCAGCACAGGACCUGACCCCGAGGCCCUCCACAAACCUACCUCAAAGAAUAUGCGAAUGCGGUGUGAAAGUGUAAGUGUACAUCUUCCUGCCAGUGGAAUCCAGAAAGUAGUUUUUAAAAUGUGGUAGAAUGCAGUGUAUUUAUUGUGUGACCUUCAAUCAGGCAUGGAGAUCAGACAAGGGGAGGCUGAGAAAAACAAGUCCUGGCUUUGUGUGUGUCAGUACUGCCCCUUGCUCAGUGCCUGGCUUGCAUGUGGAUGUGUGUGUUCAAGAGGAUCCAAGCAGGGGCCCCUGCAGACUUGGCCCCAUCUGGCUGGCUGGAACCUCCCCUCAACCGCAGCUGCCUAGAAUGUGAGCUCUGUGGCCCCAUAGUCCUGCUGCCUGUGAGGACCUCAGAACUCCUGCAGGGUUUCUUCCCACUUUUGAUGGAAUGUCCAGUCUCAGUCCUCAGGGCAGGGUGCAGAGCAGCCUUCCACUUGGAUCAGAAAGCUCUGUAUCUGGCUGGGCUCCAGAGCAGGAUGCACCCAGGCCCUGACCACCCUGCAGGCAGCUAUGAUCUGUCCAGGUUCUGUCCUCAGAUGAGCUCAGUGCUGGGCUUAUCAUUCUGCUGUCAGAACAGGAAGGCGGCCCCAGGGGUAGGGGCUGAGGGCUGGUGUUUGGUACAGGUGGCUGGAAAGCCUCUGGGGCCAGUUAUUCCACAUUCCUGGAAGACCUGAAGGGGGCUUCCUCCUCCCUGCCCCCUCCUCUGGCACAUCAGGUGGCUGUCUGUGUCACGCCUCUGAACCCACCUCUGGAUCUUUGCAUGCACCAUGUUUUCUUUUAGGAGUGUCCCGCUGUGCAAAUGUCUGGUAAAUAGCCACUUUGGACUUCCCAGUUCCUGGAGAGGGAAUCCUGUCCAAGCUUCCCUAUAAACCAGGGUGGCCCGGAGUUUAUUUUGGUGAAUAGCAGUACACCUGAUCAUUAAUGGAAGCCCCUCCCCCAUGCCCUGCCAGAUCCCAUUAGAGGAUGGAGGUGAGCAGUUCUCUCCAGACAGGCAUCCCUGAAGAGGGAGGAAAUAAGGUAGUGUCCCAGCUGGACAGUCCCCUUUUGGGGCCCUCUUCUGCUGAGUUUCAUUCUUUUUUUUUUUUUUUUUUAAACAGCAAGCAUUUUUUAAAACAACUCCUUUGUGGGCUGAGGAUUUUGCUCAUUACCGUAAGCACUGGCCUUGCAAACAUGAGGUUAUGAGUUCAAUCUCCAGGACCAAAACAAAAAUAAAGCACUUUUUUUUUGCAAAAUCUUUUUUUUAAUUUAAAAAGAGAACAGAACAAAGUGAAUCAGAACAAUGCAAGAAACACAGCACUUCACAGCAACACAACCAAAUAUCAACAGUAGCUACCAUGUCUCUUUCUUUGAAAUAGUUGAGCAUACCUUCACACACAAUAGUAUCAAACAUAACAAAAUAGUAUAAAAUGAUUCAGGUGAGUGAAAGUAUUACAGGACAUUCAAAACCAAAAAAAAAAAAAAAAAAAAAAAAAACAAAACAGAAAAUAAACAAUGGCUACUGUAAUAUCUCAUUUUCAUUAAAAAUGUGUAUACUAUCACACAUACUAAAAUCCAGUAAGACACAACAUGAUAGAACCAAUGGAAACAGAAGAAAAAAAAAAGCAUGGUAGGACUUCAAAGCAAGAUGAUGUUAAAUCAGCAAUGGCUAUUAUAAUGUCUUGUUUUCUUCAAAGCAGCUAUUCAUACCACCACACAUAAUAAAAUCAAACAAAACAGAAGAAAGCCAUUCCAACCAAUGAAUGAAAAAUUAUAAGACUUCAAAACAGUAUAAUGGGGAACCAUGAUUACCAUAAAAUCUUAUAUACUCUUACCAUUUUUUAUACUAGUGAGACUAUAUGGUAAUUACACAUGUGAGUUUGAUUUAUUUUACUUAUGAGUAUGGUCUCAAGUUGCACCCACUUAUUUAUAAAUAUCUCUAUGUGAUCAUUCUGUAUAACUGAGUAGUACUCCAUUGUAUAAAAAUACCACAACUUUUUUAUCCAUUCCUCAGUUGAUGGGCACUUAGGUUGUUUCCAAGAUCUGGCUAUUACGAACUGUGCUGCUAUAAACAUGGGUGCACAUAUAUCACUGUGGCAUGAUGUUUUUAGUUCUUCUGGGAAUAUGCCUAGAAGUGAAAUAGCUGGGUCAAAUGGGACUUCCAAUCCAGCUUUUUGAGGAAUCUUCAGACUGACCUCCACAGUGAUUGCACCAGUCAAAAUCUCUUGUGUCACUCUGCAUGCCCUCUUAUUGCUAGGAUUUCUGAGCAGUGGUUUGAGCCAAGCCUCUUCCUGAAUCUUACGGUUGAGGGUCUACCUGUGUCUACCAUGCUCUCCCAGGAACCUCCUCCCUUUCUUGUCCCUCUUCCCCUGGGAGCUGUGCUUAGGUGUGGUAGGGAGAGCAGAGACCCAGGACUCAGUUCAUUCAGCACCAAGUUGCUAUGAGCCCCUGCAAAAUAGAGAGGUGGAGCACUCCCCUGAAAGUGUGGCCACACCGUGCAGAUCUCUGGAAAGCCAAGCCUGCUGAUGUCCACGAUGGGGCCUGAGACCCUGCAGGGACUCCAGGAGCUUAAAUUGGCUCAAGAAACAAGAGCUUCUUGAGGUCACAUAGCUUCCAUGUCAGAAGGCUUCUUAGGGUCAUUUAGUCUCUCCAUGUCAUGUGGCCACUCUGGGGAAGGGGCCGGGGUCACACAGCCUCCCAUGACCAUGGGUCCUGAGGGACACAUAGUAGCCAAUAGAGUACAAUUGCCAGGAGUCACACAGCUACUUGGUCACCAAGUGUCCCAGAGUCAACCCACUCACAGAUCAUGGACACCUGGGUCACGGGCUCCCCACAUAGACUCAUCUCACUGGAAGUUUGGGCUCCUUCUAGGCCCCUUCCUGCCUCCUCUCAUGAGGGUCAUCAGGGACUCAGACACGGGGCCGUGUGCACCUGUGGAUAUGCGUGUGGGGCUGAGCAAUUGGAAGGAGGAUCCCAAGGAAGGGCCACUUCCCGGUGCUGCUGAGUAGGUUAGAGGCCAGUUGGGGCCAACAGGAUAGCUGUGGGCUAUGGUGCAGUCCGAACAUGUUCCUUCCAAUUUUAAUCAAAGUUAAACAUUUAGAAAUCACCUGCUCUAUCCACAUUGCUGUAUCAGUUAAUUUGAUUAUGAUGGCAAGCACAGGGGUGCAAGCCUAUAAUCCCAGCACUUGGGAGGCUGAAGCAGCAAGAUCUGGAUUUCAAGUCAGGCUAAGAUACAUAGUGAGUUCCAAACCAGCCUCAGCUACAAAAUGAGACUCCUUUUCAAAGAAAAAAACAAACAAAAAAAGAGAUUUGAUCAUUUCACAAUGUCCACUUAAAGCAAGUAAUCGUGCUGUAUACCUUGAAUAUGUGCAAUUUUUAUUUGCUGAAUUUACAAAUAAAAACUAAUUUGCAAAAGGAACUCUCCUAAGACAUACAUUGGGAAACUAGAAACUGAUUGUGGUAUAGGACAGAGGUGGUGGCUAAGCUGGCUGGAGACAUGGGCGGGACCUGUAAAUUUCAAGAUCCCCUGCUGGCCCAGGACUACAGGACCCUGUGCGCAGAACUCAGAUUUCCUGGCUGCGGACACCAGGAAGGAACCCGGACGCAGGCGGUGCCCACUAGCCUUGGCCCACUCUGCAGUAUUUUUCUUCAUCCUUUUCUCUUUAUGUGGCCCGAGUCUGCUCUGCAGAGCCAGUUUUUCCCUGAUCACUUUACUCCUCAUGUUUCAAAUCAACUUUCACACCACUUUUGCUUUGUCUCAGCCAAUGCUCUGUGAGAGAUAAAAAGGACAGAGCAAGCCAUGUCUAAAGGAGCUAAUCAACGUUUCAGCCUGGCAAAAUCAGUUGAGAAAGGAAAAAAAAAAAUAGAAGGCAAAGCGUUUUUAAAAAUGAACAUAGCAAAACAAUGUUUUAGUCAGGCAUGGUGGGGCACACCUGGGAUCCCAGCAUUCAGAACGCUGAGACAGCAGCAUGACCAUGAGUUUGAGGGCAGCCUGGGUUGCGUAGUAAGGGCAAAGCAUCCUGGAGUGCAUAGUGAGAGCCUGUCUCAGAAAGAAAGAAGGGAGAGAGAGAGAGAGGGAAGAGGAGACAGAGAAAGAAAAGAAAAAAGGAAAAUAUUUUUCCCAGUCAUAAUGGAUUAUGAAAUUCAGCAGUUUAUUUUAAUAUAUAUAAUGAGUGAAAGGGUUUUGGCCCAGACAGGACUCUAGCCAGGAAAGCCUCAACCAGAACCAGGAAGCUCCUAACUCCCCCGCCCCUAGGAAUUUACCUGUGACUCCAUCCUCCCCGUCCCUAGGAAGUUACCUAUGGUGCCAAACCUAGGACCAAUGGGCUACCCGUGCAUCCUUGAUGCCCCUUUAGGUUCCACCCCGAACCGAGGCUAGUUACAUACCCCCCACACCAUGUGUCUGCUGGAGAGAUCGCUGGGACUCCAGUGGUCAGGGGGUGCCAGUUAUCCCUCUCAGAAUAAAAGCCUCUUUUGUUUUAUACGUCUCAUCUUUUGGAAAUAAUCCUAUCAUUUGGUGCCAUGACUCGAUCGGCAGGUGAUUGAUUCCUGGGACACACCCGUUUUGAGUUCCCAGUUGAGUCCCCAGCCAAUUCACAAACCAGAUAACAUCCUGGAUUAAUUUCUAUGCUUCUUCCUCUCCCGAGACCCGACUUGUUGCCAGCCUCCCGCACUCACCACCGGCCAGGUUGAUUUCAAGUGCGAACUGUCCGGGGAACUCUUGGCAUUGGGGUCUGCCCCAGUCGAGUUUUCUCCCCAUUCCCGUGGGUCUGUGGCACUUUCACAUCCUUCAGACAGCCCAAGGCAGGGUUUUUCUGGGCAAACCUGUGUCCACACUCUAAAAUCUCUCAUGUUCUUUGGGUUCGGAUAGCCCAAAGCAGAGAUUUCUGGACCGCCCACACUGAAAGACCCUCACUUCCCUUAAAGCCUCACAUUUUCAUGGGCAAAACUGUUACUGACCCCACGGUGUACUCCACUCGUAAAUCUCUCAGUGACUGGAAUAUAUGAGUUUUUGGAACCUUAGCCACCAUGUGGUGCCACAAAUGAGAGACAGCUUGUUUUCUGGAUCAUGGCUUAUUUCUUGCCUGAAUCAUUCAUGGGAAACUAUUUUCUAACUCCCGCAAAAAGCCUCUACAAUGCCUAAUUUCCAAUUUACAUACUCUUAAGAUUAAAAGUACCAUGAAAACUAAACAAUAACUUUUUACUGCCAGGAGGUCUGGCCAACCUAUCCACUUAGCGGCGAUCGUUGGCCCAGAGAAGGAACAUUUGACCCCUGCAUUCUCAGAAACUUGUAUGAUUUCUCUCAGGUCGGGACAAGUUAUUAGAAUUUCCUUAUAUUCAAUUCUUCCUUGUUCUGAGAACACGCCCAUCUCUCAUUAAGUCUUGUGCUCAUGCCCAGAUACUUUUAGUUAACUCUACCAUGCUGCGAAUUUUUCCGUCCUGCCCUCAGGAUUCGCUUGAUGAUGUUCUCCCAUUCUUUUCCUGGCCGCCGCCUGCCUACCCCCAAACUCAUUUCCCGCCAUGGUUCUGCCCUUCCCUCCCCCUAUCCUGAUUUUUUUGGCAGCUCUGGUCCCUCUGUGUCUCAAUUGCCUCCCGCUGUGCAACCGUUUUCCUCUUCAUCUCCUGGGACCAAUAACUCUCCUAGCAACUCUAAUCACUCUGUUAGUGCUUCCUCAAAGUCUCCAACUCAUUCUCCUCAUAAUUCUCUGACCUCUACAGCAUUCUUGCCACCCACCCACCACACCCAAUCUUGGUCAUUGUGCCCUUCCAGCAAGCUGCACGAUUGUUCCGGCUUGCCCCGGGAACGGUCACCAUGUUACAACCCUCCACCACGUGAGAGGGCACCGCCAUCUUGGGAUGGAUCUCAUGAUCAAUGGGUGCCCCCUUGUGCUCCUCUUGUGAACAGCAACAGCUGCUCUGUUGCGGUGCACAUGAUACUUCAUUUUGCUGCCAACAGCAAUUUUCUCACUGCAAAGCACACAGUGAGAUACCAUCUGCCUGUGUUUCCUUAUCCCAGGGUGACUGGCAGCCACUCUGUAGCCACGUCCCAGCCCCUCCCCCAUGCGUCAUCCCAGCCCCUCCCUCCCCUGUGCGCUGUCAUCACUGCUGCCUUAUGCGUUUCCAGGGGCAGUCCCAGCCCGCCCGUGCGCACUAUGACCCUACGCUGGCCCCACUCCCAUGCAGGGUGUGCUCUGCUGGAGCACGCAAAACAGCAGCUCAGGGGCUCCGCUCAAAAGAUGCUAUUUUUUAAUUUCAAUUCUCAAACCAUUUAAUCAAUGUUAUUGGCCACCUGAUAAUUUUACCAGCCUUGUUUAUCAAUCAAAGCCUUCACCAAUCUCCUGUUUAACAACUAAGGUUAUAAAUUCCUUUUUGCUGGAAACCACUGUUCCAAGACAAGGGUUUUGUUAAAAGUUCUAAUAUUGUCUAAAAACAAAAUUUUAUUUGUCUUGGUUCAUACUACUGCAAAUAACAGGUUAAAAAAAAGUAAAUGUGUUCAAAAUUUGACAGUAUUAGAUCAGUUUUUAUAGAUUUAUUCAUAAGAUUGGUAAACCUUUACUGCAAAAUGUUUACAUUAAAAUGAGAUUAUACUCCAAAAGGGGAGGUCAGACUAAAGCCUUUUUUGUUAAAUAUAUAAUUCCACACAAUACCCUAAAUGCAAUAUGCCAUCCAGAUAAAGCCUGCUCUCUGAUCUAAAAUGCCAAUAUUAAACUCCUGCACACUUACUUAAUUCUACUGUAGUCCAAAUCACAAACAAAAAGGUAAAACUUGACCUUCAAACCUUAGAGAGAUCUUAAUAUGGUUUUUCAUAUUUUUAACACUUUUGACACUUGGAAUUCUGAGGCAGGUAAACCUACACAAGGUGGAGCUGCCUGGCUUCACAUGGACCACGCUCAAAUGCAGCAGAAGACAUUGGGCAAGAGAGAGUGCCCCAUCCUGGCGUUCUUUGAGACCUUACUCCAGGGCUGCUGGACUGUCUUAGCCACCACAGAGUGGGUAAGCCAUCCUAAAAUGCCAACACUGCCAGAUUUGUUACCAACAAAAAUUGCUGCCAAAGACUGAGGGGGUUCAGAGCAACAUCAGCUCCCUUUAAAGUGUCUGUCUCAGAGUCCAAGUUGCACGAAAGUCUCAGGUAAGACAAUUCUCUAUAUUUGUGGACAUAGAGGCCAUAUAUACAGAGUUCUUCCCGAGUUUUCAGACUGCUAUAGUAAGUCCUCAAUCUCUAUGACGGGAUAUUGAUGGUCAACCUAUGCCAUUUACAAACAGGGCCCAUUUUGUGCAGGUCCCAGUCCUAAAUGGUUUUUUUUCUUUUUUGUCUUUUUCAUUUUUAUCAGUACCAGGGAUGAAACUCAUGACUGCCUGCUUGCAAGGCAGGCACUUAUGCCACUGAGCUAAACCCCCAGCCCCCCAGUCCUAAAUCUUAAGAUGCCUUUUAUACAGGCUGACUUAGACAUGCUGAGGCCUCAACAGCUUACACCUGUUAUUGCUAGUAAACCUCUCCUCAGUGAUAUAAGACCACCUCCUUCCUUUCUUAUUCACCAAUUUCUCAGAUAACCCUGGUCAAGACUGACAGAUAUAUUUUGUCUUCUCACUUUGUUUAUACUUUUUCAGGAUACAUAAAAGCCUUUCUCACAACCAGGGAAACUGCUGAGAUACUUGCUGAAGUUCUGUUACAGCAAAUCAUUCCAAGAAAUACAACCAGGUUACAGUGACCCAUACCUAAAUCAAUGUUGCUAGAUGGCCAUUCUGAUUUUGCAUCACUUAGGCCCUAGAUCUAACCAUCUGGUUGCCUACUCAGCUCUGCCUUACCAAGGCCUCACAGCCAUGACUCUCAGGCUGUCAUAAUUUGUUAUCCACUUUGGUUCCUAAUUACUUACUUUCUAUUAAUGAGCAUUUUUACAGCAGGACUAUUGACAGUGUUUCCCAAAGACUCCCACAUCAUAUGUAAGAUAAUAUUUCAUAAUGUUCUAUGCAAUGACAGUUGUUCUUCUUUCUACCCUCGCUGUCUGGUGAAACGUGACAUCCCUGAAAGCCCAAGCUCUUACCUUCCCUAUACUGGUACAGCCACCACCUUCCCUACUUCCCCUAUUUUUUCCAGUUCAACUCCUGGACCGGAGACAAGUUUUACACACCUACCCUCUUAACUUUUACGCUUUUAGAUGGGGGAGUAAUCACCUCUCAUAACAUCACUCCUCCUAACCUCACACUUAAUUUUCAGAAUUCUACCUCACUGUGACAAUGAUCCUACCUCAAAGUCAUCCUGAUAUAAUGACAUGUCUAAUCAAAGGCACCUUUCCUUCUACCUCACCUGGGUCCUUAAAUAUGACAGUGCCAUGUCUCCUCAUAACAUUUUGUCUCUUUGUUUUUCCAGUCUAGCAUAUGUGCAUUCACCAGUGAAGUUGUCCUGGCUAAAACACCUGGCACCAGCGUCUACCUGGGCAUCAACCAUCAUUCCAUCAACUCCCCUAGACUCCAGUACAGCGACCUCUGCCAGCAGAAAGUAGUUAAAGAGAGAAAUCUUCACCCCUUUUCAUAAUAAUAAUAAUAAUCAUCAGAUGGGAUAUGAAAGGGUUUUGGUCCAGACAGGACUCUGUAGCCAGGAAAGCCUCAACCAGAACCAGGAAGCUCCUAUUUCCCUGCCCCUAAGAAUUUACCUGUGACUCCAUCCUCCCCACCCCUGGGAAGUUAUCUAUAGCGCCAAACCUAGGACCAAUGGGCUACCCCUGCAUCUCUGAUGCCCCCUUAGGUUCCACCCCAAACCAAGGCUACUUAUGUACUCUCCACACCACAUGUCCGCUGAAGAGAUCGCUGGACUCCAGCAGUCCAGGGGUGCCAGUUAUUUCUCUCCGUGUUCUCAGAAUAAAAGCCUCUUUUGUUUUAUA